Molecule: long non-coding RNA, 1432 nt
Filed under: Bos indicus x Bos taurus (hybrid cattle)
Lineage: Eukaryota; Metazoa; Chordata; Mammalia; Artiodactyla; Bovidae
Description: lncRNA (ENSBIXG00005003694.1)
Source: RNAcentral
CUUGGGGCACCUGGGGAGCAGCUGGGCCUGAUCAGGAAGGGAGCCUGGAGCCUUGCUCUGCGUCUCUGCUCAGCCUCUCUCCAUGAUACCAGAAACGACUGGAAUGUUUCAUUCCUCGGACUUUUUCUGAGACUUAUCAGCGGCCUUAUGAAAAAGUACCUGUUCGCCCGUUUAUUUUUAGCUAUCAUAUUAAACAUUCCAGCCGAAAAUUACAAGAUCAAAACUCCCAAAGGUCGGCUGCCUGCUUCCUAGCUUGCUUUUGAGAACUGCUUAGAAGCUGCGAGCCGCCAAGUCCCACGCGUGACUAUCCUGGGAAGGCGCGGAGGCCGCUGUCCCUGGGGGCGCCUCCCCUGGGUUUGGAGGCGCUGUGCGCUCUGUCAGGCGAGAGGAAACGCGCAUUAGCCAAAUCCAGGCAGGCCGCUCAGAUGCUGUAAAAGAUUCCCAGUAGACCUGCUUAACGCUUUUCUGACUGAUCUUCGGCUUCAAGGUUAUUAUACCCAAGCCGACUGCACAUUACUAAAGUACAUUACUAAAUUACUUAGUAAAGCUGGUAUAUUCCAACAACGCUGGCCGCACACCAGAAUCAAACCAGUCUGGACCUUGGACAGAUCUGACCCCCUGGCCAAGAGAUGAAGCCUGGGGCUGGAGCUCAAAGUGUCUAAACCCAGCCCAGGUACUCCUGGGACUCCUGGCUGGGUCAGAGGCUCGGGAUGGGAGGGGAGACUACGUGGGACUCAUUUCUCCUGUGCUGACUGCCAUACUGCCAUUCCUGCUAUUUUCUGAAGUCUCCAAGCUGCAGCGAAAGGACCCAGUGUUAAUACAUUCAUUCACACUGAGGUAUAAGGGCCUAAGAAGAUGUAUGCAGACCCACCCACGAACAGCCACAUUUUACCUAAGCCAAGCUUUGAGCAGGCAGUUAAAAUACAGAAACGGGAACAGAGUUGGCAACCUCUCCAACUCUUCCCCCAGGCUGCAUUUUUAUGCCUCAAAAUCAGAUUCUGCCUGCGUGUCUCAGAAAACCUUAGAAAUGUCUUCUCCGAAGCCUCCUCCCGCGGUCAGUCUCUGUCAUGUGCUGCGUUCUGAAGCCUAGACCGCGCUCUCCCCAUCAGCCCUCUUAGCCAGAGCCCUGUGCCACGUCAGGUUGCUCAGUGGGCACAGAAAUGUCUCCAAGGCACCUUCUAAACCUGCCAAGGCCGAUUCAGAAACAGAAGGCUGAAGCCAAAUGGAGACGUUGGGGGAGCCCUCGUGGAGAACAGAGCUGGCCUGGACCUGAAGGCAAUUUAUUACUAAUGCAGUGAGAGGCUGCAACCAAACAAGACCACAUGGACAUUGGCACAGAACACAUGGAAAGUUCUGUCUUCACUCAAGCCUGUGGCCUGUCCUAGAACAAAGGAGCAGAGGUUCCUUAAAAAUAAACGCAGCUGACUCUCCA